This 959-nucleotide long non-coding RNA is filed under the name Homo sapiens (human). RNAcentral's name for it is "HSALNT0085387". Lineage: Eukaryota; Metazoa; Chordata; Mammalia; Primates; Hominidae. The record is from RNAcentral.
GUUGGGCUCUCGCUGUGCUGGGGAAUCCAAUGUACUCCUGGGUCACGGGCUGUCCAGAAAGCAUGGCUUGGGAGGCCUCAGGAAAUUUACAAUCACGGUGAAAGGCAAAGAGGAAGGAGGCACGUCUUACAUGGCUGGAGCAGGAGGAAGAGGGUGAAGGCACAAGUUCUACCCAUUUUUAAACAACCAGAUCUAAUGGGAACUUAUUAUCACAAGGACAGCAAGAGAGAAUUUACCACCAUGAUGUAAUUACCUGCCAACAGAUCCCUCCUUCAACAUACGGGAUUACAAUACGACAUGAGAUUUGGGCAGGGACACCAAUCCAAACCAUAUCACAAGCAUAAGAGAAAUGUGUUAUCUUUCAUUGCUUCAAGUAUGUAUGUGUGUGUUUCUUUGUUAAAAAAAAAUAAACAUUUUUAUCUCUUGCCAUGUCAGUGGGGGAAUCUAUACAGCUACAAUUAUAGACCAUACUUUAAAAGAGUUAGUUGUAAGUUUAAGAUGAAUAAAACCUGAAGCAAAUGAAAAUCCAUACUUUCUCCAGGAUUUUAUAAAGUGUUAGAGGAUAGUGGUUUCAUAUCAGUCUCUUUAAGUGCAAACCGUAUGCCAAUUUUGUAAAAACCUGCAUUAAUAAAGCAUUAUUUUAAGGACCAUUGGGGAGAUGAAAAAUAAAGGAUAAAUUAUCUUAUUUCUUAAUGCACAAUUUAGUAGAUGAAAAGACAUACUUCAAUAAAUUGGUAUUUGUACUUUUUAGUUUGCUAAUUUUAUCUUUAUUUUUCCAAAUGAAUAGUAACCAUGCUUUUUAACGUGUUAAACAAAACUGCUAUUACCUUAUAUGUGAGAUUCAAGUUCUAAAGAUUCAAAAGCUUUAACUCAAAUUUCAAUAAUGUUUGAAAAUGUCUUGCUGAACUUUAAAGAAAUGUGUGCAAUUUGUGCAAUCAAUAACAGUGUGGCAAACUUAC